GACGGANCCAGCCAUGCCGCGUGCAGGGAAGACGGCGCUUCUGCGGUUGUAAACUGCUUUUAUACGGGAAGAAAAGGCCCAUGCGUGGGACAUUGCCGGUACCGUAUGAAUAAGCACCGGCUAACUCCGUGCCAGCAGCCGCGGUAAUACGGAGGGUGCGAGCGUUGUCCGGAUUUAUUGGGUUUAAAGGGUGCGUAGGCGGCCAUUUAAGUCAGCGGUGAAAGUCUGUGGCUCAACCAUGGAACUGCCGUUGAUACUGGGUGGCUUGAGUGUUGGUGGGGUACAUGGAAUUUAUGGUGUAGCGGUGAAAUGCAUAGAUACCAUAAGGAACACCGAUAGCGAAGGCAUUGUACUUACCAACAACUGACGCUGAGGCACGAAAGCGCGGGUAUCGAACAGGAUUAGAUACCCUGGUAGUCCGCGCCGUAAACGAUGAUCACUCGCUGUCAUGCCUAUAUGGUGUGGUGGCCAAGCGAAAGCGUUAAGUGAUCCACCUGGGGAGUACGCCCGCAAGGGUG
This 518-nucleotide ribosomal RNA is filed under the name uncultured bacterium. RNAcentral's name for it is "bacterial SSU rRNA". It matches the Rfam family "Bacterial small subunit ribosomal RNA", at positions 381 to 896 of the family's 1533-position model. The record is from RNAcentral.